CCUAGAGUGCAGGCUCAGUAGUUGUGGCGCAUGGGCUUAGUUGCUCUGCGGCAUGUGGGAUCUUCCCAGACCAGGGCUCGAACCAUGUCCCCUGCAUUGGCAGGCAGAGUCUUAACCACUGCAGCACCAGGGAAGUCCCCACACAUUCUUAUUUUUAUAUUCUUUUCCAUUACGGUUUAUCAUAGGAUACUGAAUAUAGUUCCCUGUGCUAUACAGUAGAACCUUGUUGUUUAUCUAUUCUAUAUAUAAUAGCUUACACCUGCUAACCUCAACCUCCCACUCAUCCCUCUCCCAUCCCCCUCUCCCUUGGCAACCACAAGUCUGUUUUUUAUGUCCAUGAGUCUGUUUGUUUCGUAGAUAAGUUCAUUUGUGUUAUAUUUUAGAUUCCACGUAUAAGUGAUAUCAUAUGGUAUUUGUCUAUUUCUUUGUUUUAAAAAAAUUUAUCUAUUUGGCCAUGCCAGGUCUUAGUUGUGGCAUGUGGGAUCUUUUAGUUGUGGCAUGUGGGAUCUUUAGUUGCGGCAUGUGUGAUCUAGUUCCUGACCAGGGAUCGAACCUGGGUCCCCUCCAUUGGCAGCACACAGUCUUAGCCACUGGACCACCAGGAAAGUCUCUCUCUUUCUCUUUCUGACUUAUUUCACUUUUUAUGAUAAUCUCUACAUCCAUCCAUGUUGCUGCAAAUGGCAUUAUUUCGUUUUUUUAAUGGCUGAAUAGUAUCCCAUUGUAUAUAUGUACCAUAUCUUCUUUGUCUAUUCAUCUGUUGAUAGACAUUUAGGUUGUUUCCAUGUAUUGGGUAUUGUGAAUAGUGCUGCUGUGAACAUAGGGGUGCAUGUAUAUUUUUGGAUUAUAGUUUUGUCUGAAUAUAUGCCCAGGAGUGGGAUUGCUGGAUCAUCUGGUAGCUCUGUUUUUAGUUUUCUGAGGAACCUUCAUACUCUUUUCCAUAGUGGCUGUACCAGCUUACAUUCCUACCAACAGUGCAAGCGGGUUCCCUUUUCUCCACACCCUCUCCAGCAUUUAUUAUUUGUAGACAUUUUUUUUUUUUUUUUUUUUUUUUUUUUUUUUUUUUUGCGGUACGCGGGCCUCUCACUGCCGUGGCCUCUCCCGUUGCGGAGCACAGGCUCUGGACGCGCAGGCUCAGCGGCCAUGGCUCACGGGCCCAGCUGCUCUGCAGCACGUGGGAUCUUCCUGGACUGGGGCACGAGCCCGUGUCCCCUGCAUCGGCAGGCAGACUCUCACCCACUGUGCCACCAGGGAAGCCCUAGACUUUUUAAUGAUGGCCAUUCUGACUGGCGUGAGAUGGUACCUCACUGCAGUUUUGAUUUGCAUUUCUCUAAUAAUUAGCGAUGCUAAGCAUCUUUUCAUGCACCUGUUGGCCAUCUGUAUGUCUUUUUUGGAGAAAUGUCUCUUUAGGUCUUCUGCCCAUUUUUUGAUUGGGUUGUUUGGUUUGUUGUUGUUGAGUUGUAUGAGCUGUUUGUAUAUGUUGGAAAUUAAGCCCUGUCAGUCACAUCGUUUGCAAAUAUUUUCUCCCAUUCUAUAGGUUUUUCUUUCAUUUUGUUUAUGGUUUCCUUUUCUCUGCAGAAGCGUGUAAGUUUGAUUAGGUCCCAUCUGUUUAUUUUUGUUUUUAUUUCUUUUGCCUUGGGAGAUUGACCUAAGAAAACAUUGGUACAAUUUAUGUCAGAGAAUGUUUUGCUUAUGAUCUCUUCUAGGAGUUUUAUGGUGUCAUGUCUUAUGUUUAAGUUUUUAAGCCACUUUGAGUUUAUUUUUGUGUAUGGUGAGAGGGUGUGUUCUAACUUCAUUGAUUUACAUGCAGCCGUCCAGCUUUCCCAAUACCACUUGCUGAAGAGACUGUCUUUUUCCCAUUGUAUAUUCUAUUUUUU
Non-coding RNA from Kogia breviceps (pygmy sperm whale), 1874 nucleotides. Lineage: Eukaryota; Metazoa; Chordata; Mammalia; Artiodactyla; Physeteridae. The record is from RefSeq and is a predicted model, not a curated record.